GAUUAUCGAAGGAUUAGCCUUAAUAUCAUAAUC
This 33-nucleotide non-coding RNA is filed under the name unclassified sequences. Its description in RNAcentral is "S4-Flavobacteria ribosomal protein leader". It matches the Rfam family "S4-Flavobacteria ribosomal protein leader". The record is from RNAcentral.